Molecule: ribosomal RNA, 792 nt
Filed under: uncultured bacterium
Lineage: Bacteria
Description: bacterial SSU rRNA
Rfam family: Bacterial small subunit ribosomal RNA
Source: RNAcentral
AAUUCGCCCUUAGAGUUUGAUCCUGGUUCAGGAUGAACGCUGACAGAAUGCUUAACACAUGCAAGUCGAUUCAAUUUACCUUCGGGUAUUGAGGAUGGCGGACGGGUGAGUAACGCGUAAGGAACUUGCCUCUUGGUCUGGGACAACUGUUGGAAACGACAGCUAAUACCGGAUAUUAUGAGAUUCUCGCAUGGGAAACUUAUGAAAGCUAUAUGCGCCAAGAGAGAGCCUUGCGUUCCAUUAGCUAGUUGGUGGGGGUAACGGCCCACCAAGGCGACGAUGGAUAGCCGGCCUGAGAGGGUGAACGGCCACAAGGGGACUGAGACACGGCCCUUACUCCUACGGGAGGCAGCAGUGGGGAAUAUUGGACAAUGGGCCACAAGCCUGAUCCAGCAAUUCUGUGUGCACGAUGAAGGUCUUCGGAUUGUAAAGUGCUUUCAGUUGGGAAGAAGAAAGUGACGGUACCAACAGAAGAAGCGACGGCUAAAUACGUGCCAGCAGCCGCGGUAAUACGUAUGUCGCAAGCGUUAUCCGGAUUUAUUGGGCGUAAAGCGCGUCUAGGCGGAAAAAUAAGUCUGAUGUUAAAAUGCGGGGCUCAACUCCGUAUUGCGUUGGAAACUGUUUUUCUAGAGUACUGGAGAGGUGGGCGGAACUACAAGUGUAGAGGUGAAAUUCGUAGAUAUUUGUAGGAAUGCCGAUGGAGAAGUCAGCUCACUGGACAGAUACUGACGCUAAAGCGCGAAAGCGUGGGGAGCAAACAGGAUUAGAUACCCUGGUAGUCCACGCCGUAAA